Long non-coding RNA from Gallus gallus (chicken), 2858 nucleotides. Lineage: Eukaryota; Metazoa; Chordata; Aves; Galliformes; Phasianidae. The record is from Ensembl.
GCUGUAAAUCUUCCCUAGCCUCUGCUGCAGCCAAACAAAGAGAUCAACUCCGCAAAUUGGCUGAAAGAGCUCUUUGUUCUCUCUCUGUCGAACGGGGCUGCAGUACAACUUUCCAGACCACGAGGAACAACUUCAAGUUUCACUUUUUUUUUGCUUUGUCUUUUUUAGCAUUUUGUAAUUUCAGUGAUUUCCAGCUAGUUGCAGCAAUUACUUGCAGGGCAGAAAGUUUUAAAGCAACAGACCAUUAUAAUUUCUACGCAGGAAUAGUAAAAGGAAUUGGCGAGCUCUUGUGCUAAUUUUCGACAAUCUUGGAUUACUGGGAGAUCUGCAGGAAGCUGAAUGAAUGCCCUUGGGAGAAGCUUCAGCCUCUUCAUCCUUCUGAGAUGCUUUGCAGAGGACCUCUUGCCUUGACAGUCACAUCCCCCUCAUCUUUUUGACUUGCAGCAGGAGUUAUCUGAGAGCUGUGCCAGCUUCAUGCUUCUUUAGCCAACAGCUGGGCAAAGGCACCUGAAGGUCUUCAGGCAGCACUGCAGUACAAAGGACAUGUACCUGCACUGAUGCUCCCCACUGGCCCUUUCCCAGUCUGCCUCUCACUGUUGCCUCUGCCAGCACUGCCAAAGCACAUCUGGAGGCAAUGUGCACAUCUGGACAUGCCAUGCCAGCAAGCAGGGAAAAUGGCAGGGCACCUCUUGGAGAGGGGGCUCUGCUCCCACCUCCCUCUCUGGAUGACUUAGAAUCAUAGAGCCAUUAAGGUUGGAAAAGACUCCUAAGAUCAUCCGGUCCAACCAUCAACCACUUGGAUUGAAUUACAUGAUGUCUUCCUGUGCCUCAGUUUCUCCACCUGUGAUAUAAAGAGGCUGAUGAAGAGUUUGAAAAUCCAUUCAUGGAAAACCAGAAAUGAAAACCCCGAGAGAUGUUAGCAUUAAAACAACAUUCGACAGCAUAUUAGGAGUUGUACUGUGAAGAGUCAUUCUGUGACAGCAGGGAAACAGCUGAGCAAUUUAACACCCACAGUUGUUGCCAUCCCUUGUUUCUAUCCACAGAUAUGCCUGGACUGAUAUUCCAGGUCAUUUCUCAUGUUGGCAACUUUCGUCUCUUUCCACUCAAGCAAGUCCUAUAAACUGUUUAUAUUAAAACAAUUAAAUUAUGUGCACAGCGUUUACAUAAACGCUGGCACCGUCAUUAAUGGCAACACUUAGGGAUGCGGAUGGUGUCUGUGUGUGCUCUGCAAUCCUUCAGGGAGAAGAAUCGAAUUUGCCAGCCAGUUUGGUUAAAAUAUUUAAAUGAGAGGUGGCUGCACUUUGAGAUGGAGGAAGUACUGCCAAGGAAUGUAACUGAAUAAUCAGAGCUCAUCGUGACACCUCUCAGUGGGCCGUUUAGUGUGCCCUGCACCUCCUUGGUACCCAGUGCUGCUCAGCCUCAGUAGUAUGGGUACAGCCUGGCUCACAGCUCGACACCAUGGGAAGGCAGAGCUGCCUCCCCCCCCCUGCAUUCACAUCCCUAAAUGCUCUGCUGGGAGAGACAAUGCAUGGCAAAUCCCCCUUUCUACUCUAUAUCCCUGCUGGGCUGCAUUGAUGCUCCUUGAGAACUGCCAUCAGGGCUGCUGGAGCAGGAACCUAUCUCCUCAUCCCACAGCAAUUCUAUUUUGUGUGUGCCCAUAUUAUUUGUACAGGUGAAGCCAUGUGGAGCACAGAACAGGCCAAAGCUAGUCUUUGCCUGCCUGUUUUCUCCACCAUGUUCCACCAUGGGAUCUGGUGCUGGAGGCUGCUCAUCAAGCCAUCUCGUGCUGAGCUGCCAGGAGAGGCAGGGAGCCAGGAAAAAGCAAACAGCCCUGGGAAAAAGAGACUUCACAGAAAGAGCCUGUGGUUUGUCAGAAGCAAGGCUGAACAACGUUUCCUUGUGGUCUGUAAUUACCAACAGAGGGAAGAGAUAGCUCAGACUUGGGGAUGCUUUCAUCCAGCAGACAAAAGCUGGAUGAAUCCAAUAGCUGGAGGCUGAAGUUAGCAAGAUUGAAAUGUAGGAUGCAAAUAUCUAAGACUGGAGGUAAUUAAUAAGUUCCCUGAUGUUUGCUGUGCCAAGUGGAUGGCAGUCAGAGCGGGCGAGCUGCCCAUGCUAGGGCCUGAUGCCUUUCCUCAAUCAGUGCUGUAUAGCACAUAGGCAGCAGUGUAGGGCUGAUCCCAAGUGAGCAGGACACACAUCUGGAGUGCCCAGAGCCCCAGGAAGCUGAGCUGUGGUUUUCCUGAAUGCAAGAAGACAAAUGAAUAUCCAAAACUGGAACAGGCUGCCCAGAGUUGUUGUGGAUGCCCCAUCCCCAGAGGUGCCCAAGGCCAGGCUUGCUGGGGCCCUAGGCAACCUGAUCUGAUGGAGGGCAACAAGCCAUGGCAGAGGUUUGAGCUUGAUGGUCUUUAAGGUCCUUUCCAACUCACUCCAUUCUAUAAUUCUAUGAUAAACUGCCUGGUGUCCACCAUAUAGGAGGAGCCACUUAGUCUCAACCCAUUUUCUACUCACAGAAUGUCCCAUCCAUGGAUCGCAAGGGGAAUUAAAGACACUGGGGCCCCUCAGCCAUGUGAUGAGCAGUCUGUGGCUAAUGCCUUCAUUGUGGGAUGUGCUGUUCUGUGGGAUGUGUCAGGCUGAUGCACUACAGGAGUUUAAAUGCCUGAUGUGAAGUCUCUCCUUCAGUCCUUGUGUUGUAGGGGCUGCAAAGCUGUAUGGGGCAUACCAUGCCCGAUUAGUUUUAUGGACUGCUGUGGCUCAAGGCUGAUUAUUUUCCAAAUAAAAUAUCAGUUUAAGAGUAACUCGGUAUGCUUGCUAGCUUGGGAACAUGGGGUGCCAUUUUAUUGGCUCGGGUAGAUUGCUUG